AUCGUCAAUCAGCAUCAUAAACAGGCAGAAAUUUCAUUGCCCUUUGGCUUCAUUCUCUUGGAGAAUCUGACACUCCAAAUUGCCUCAUAUCUAUUUUCUAUGGUAUUUGAGUGAAUGGCAUCAUCCGUUUUCUCCAGGACUCUAUUGGGUCACCGCUUGAUUCACUCCUCGCUCUCCUUCUCACACAAAACCCAAUUUUUUACUCUCUUUAAUAAGAGACCAUUUCACAUGCGAGCUGGUCCUUCCCAUACAUCAUAUAAGACGUCUGAUUGUGUUCCUCGAGUCAUUGCUUCCUCUAUGGUUGGUUCAAAAGCUAAUUUUUCUACACGAUCUUUAUCUACCAAUGAACCUGUUGUAUCGGUUGAUUGGCUCCAUGCAAAUCUCAGGGAGCCUGAUAUGAAGGUGUUGGAUGCAUCCUGGUACAUGCCAGAUGAACAGAGGAAUCCAAUUCAAGAGUAUCAGGUU
This 465-nucleotide unclassified non-coding RNA is filed under the name Hevea brasiliensis (rubber tree). The record is from RNAcentral. Lineage: Eukaryota; Viridiplantae; Streptophyta; Magnoliopsida; Malpighiales; Euphorbiaceae.